CAGCAGUGGGGAAUAUUGCACAAUGGGCGCAAGCCUGAUGCAGCCAUGCCGCGUGUAUGAAGAAGGCCUUCGGGUUGUAAAGUACUUUCAGCGGGGAGGAAGGCGACAGGGUUAAUAACCCUGUCGAUUGACGUUACCCGCAGAAGAAGCACCGGCUAACUCCGUGCCAGCAGCCGCGGUAAUACGGAGGGUGCAAGCGUUAAUCGGAAUUACUGGGCGUAAAGCGCACGCAGGCGGUCUGUCAAGUCGGAUGUGAAAUCCCCGGGCUCAACCUGGGAACUGCAUUCGAAACUGGCAGGCUAGAGUCUUGUAGAGGGGGGUAGAAUUCCAGGUGUAGCGGUGAAAUGCGUAGAGAUCUGGAGGAAUACCGGUGGCGAAGGCGGCCCCCUGGACAAAGACUGACGCUCAGGUGCGAAAGC
RNAcentral lists this ribosomal RNA (419 nucleotides) under Enterobacter sp. shp14. RNAcentral describes it as "bacterial SSU rRNA". It matches the Rfam family "Bacterial small subunit ribosomal RNA", at positions 349 to 760 of the family's 1533-position model. The record is from RNAcentral. Lineage: Bacteria; Pseudomonadati; Pseudomonadota; Gammaproteobacteria; Enterobacterales; Enterobacteriaceae.